Molecule: ribosomal RNA, 253 nt
Filed under: uncultured bacterium
Lineage: Bacteria
Description: partial 16S ribosomal RNA
Rfam family: Bacterial small subunit ribosomal RNA
Source: RNAcentral
UACGGAGGGUGCAAGCGUUAUCCGGAUUCACUGGGUUUAAAGGGUGCGUAGGUGGGUUGGUAAGUCAGUGGUGAAAUCCCCGAGCUUAACUUGGGAACUGCCAUUGAUACUAUCAGUCUUGAAUAUUGUGGAGGUUAGCGGAAUAUGUCAUGUAGCGGUGAAAUGCUUAGAUAUGACAUAGAACACCCAUUGCGAAGGCAGCUUACUACGGAUAUAUUGACACUGAGGCUCGAAAGCGUGGGGAUCAAACAGG